This 359-nucleotide long non-coding RNA is filed under the name Nicotiana benthamiana. RNAcentral describes it as "long non-coding RNA (NBEN_LNC013732)". The record is from RNAcentral. Lineage: Eukaryota; Viridiplantae; Streptophyta; Magnoliopsida; Solanales; Solanaceae.
GGAUUUAAUAAGGCCACAGUGCCUAAUCCUUCUCCUCCUUUCAGACAAAGAGUCAAUUUUGAUCAAGCCAGAGGGCCUUUAUUCUGUAGAUACUGUAAAUAAUCUGGGCACUUAAUUGAUAAGUGUUUCAAGAUUCAUGGGUAUCCACAAAGUACAAUAUUUAACAAGGGAGGAGAACUGUUGCUGCUCAUCUUACUGCUGGUGUGGAUUUCCCUCCUUCUGAAGGACAUAUGUCUGUUCCCCAAUUGAUCAAUUGAUGAGCUAAUUACAACAGACCCAGUUAGGGGACUCCACUACUCAGACUCCUCCUCCCAUGUAUGCUGCUAACUUUGCUGGUACUAUGCUAACUGAGAGCCCUA